This 1493-nucleotide long non-coding RNA is filed under the name Macaca fascicularis (crab-eating macaque). Its description in RNAcentral is "lncRNA (ENSMFAG00000052604.1)". Lineage: Eukaryota; Metazoa; Chordata; Mammalia; Primates; Cercopithecidae. The record is from RNAcentral.
ACUGCACAGAGAUGGAACCUGAUGAAACGGCCCCAUUUGAGUGCCUGCUGUAUCGUGUUGGCUCUGCUUCCUGCAGCUGUGCUCCGAGAUGAGCCUUUCAGUCAUCGCUCCCUAAUAGCCCCAUCUCCCUGAAUUUGGGAGGACGCACAUUCCUCUCCUUGCUCACAUGCCCCACUUCAAGCCAUCUGCACACUCUACAGGGAACUUGCCUCCUGACGUCCUGAUGUGCAACGCCAUCCAAAUCCUCUGCUGGAAUCUCACUAUUCACACCACUGAUGCCCCUGGAGCAUGAAACAGAAAGAAUGACAUCCUGUGCUCAGCAGGUCUCUUCCCCCUCAUUCCAGACAUCAGGGUAGGAGUAUUACGGAGGUCCCACAGAAGAACUUGGCGACUGUCACCUGCCUUGCAAAUCGAACAUAUGUUAGAAAGAUGCACGCUCACAAGACCCACAGCCGGCUUGGUCAGCCACAUCUGUCAUUCCUCCCACCAGGAAAGCCGAAUUCCUCCCAGAGCUGUAAACCUCACAUCUCACUGAAUCUCUGGACACCAUCACCCAGGGGCUGCGAGAUCAGGAGGGCCCGCUGGUAACGACUUAACCAGCUGAGGUUCCAGUGCACUUCAGGGGUUUACAGGACUGUGCCUUGAAGGAAGUGUUCCCUGCUGCUUUGGGAAAACGGGCAAUUGUAAAUCAGGUAACAAUGAGGCCCUGACUUAUUUAUCCUUCUACAGGUUUUACAUACUAGGGCCAGCAAGGGACACAUUUGCCCAGCUCAUGGCUGAUUUGCAGAGUCAGCACUUUAGGUAAGACCAGCCCGCCUUGCUCAGCGGGACGGCAUGUGCUGGGGGCUUCGAGGAACCAACGCACCCUGUGGUGCUGAGGCCUUAUCUUGUCUCUUGGUCUGGACCAAAUGCCAUCUUUCAGAGACAUGAGAUACAGAAUGGGAAGUCACCAAACAGUGGGAAAUUCUUCCUCUGGUGCUAAAAGUGCUUUUUCCCCUCUCUCCCUGGCCUCCUCCACGUUCCUCCUCCUUUAGAGGGAACAUUUGCCUGGAGAACAGCUGCACCCUUGUGAUCCCAGAAAUGAUAGGGAACCAUUAAAACAGGAACAGCGGCGAUAAAUGAAGCUUUCAGGCCUUUGGCUUGUACUAAUUAGCAAUCAAGGCCAAAGCUGAACCCAAUGUCCCAUAAUAAAUUAUGACACAUCCUUACAAGAGAAUAUUAGGCAGCUAUUAAAAAUAAUGUUUUCAAAGAAUUUUUAUGGCACUGAAAACUGCUUAUGAUAUGAAGUGAAAUGAAGGAAAGAUGUAAAGCCCACAUAUAGAACACGGAAUACCAAUGACCUGAAAGACUACCUGAAAAUACUGUAAAACGGGAACUGCGAUUAUCUCUGCAGGAAAAAUUAUGUGUGCAUUUUAUGUUUCUCUCUUAUUAUAUUUUAAACAUUUCCUAUAUUAGGCAUUCGUGGCUUUUGUUUAUUAAAAAUAAAAUAAAAU